This 69-nucleotide transfer RNA is filed under the name Ictidomys tridecemlineatus (thirteen-lined ground squirrel). Its description in RNAcentral is "Spermophilus tridecemlineatus (thirteen-lined ground squirrel) tRNA". It matches the Rfam family "tRNA". Rfam says of the family: Transfer RNA (tRNA) molecules are approximately 80 nucleotides in length. Lineage: Eukaryota; Metazoa; Chordata; Mammalia; Rodentia; Sciuridae. The record is from Rfam by way of RNAcentral.
GGGGCUGUAGCUCAGUGGUAGAGCGCUCAUCUAGCACAUGUGAGGCACUGGGUUCAAUCCUCAGUACCA